RNAcentral lists this ribosomal RNA (505 nucleotides) under uncultured bacterium. Its description in RNAcentral is "partial 16S ribosomal RNA". It matches the Rfam family "Bacterial small subunit ribosomal RNA", at positions 28 to 523 of the family's 1533-position model. The record is from RNAcentral.
GAUGAACGCUAGCUACAGGCUUAACACAUGCAAGUCGAGGGGUAACGAGAGGGAAGCUUGCUUUCCUUGUCGACGACCGGCGCACGGGUGAGUAACGCGUAUCCAACCUGCCCCCAACUAGGGAAUAACCUUGCGAAAGUAAGACUAAUACCCUAUAAUUUCCUCAGAUGUCAUCUGACGAGGAAUAAAGAUUUAUCGGUUGUGGAUGGGGAUGCGUCUGAUUAGCUUGUUGGCGGGGUAACGGCCCACCAAGGCAACGAUCAGUAGGGGUUCUGAGAGGAAGGUCCCCACAUUGGAACUGAGACACGGUCCAAACUCCUACGGGAGGCAGCAGUGAGGAAUAUUGGUCAAUGGGCGGAAGCCUGAACCAGCCAAGUAGCGUGCAGGAUGACGGCCCUAUGGGUUGUAAACUGCUUUUAUACAGGAAUAAAGUUAGCCACGUGUGGUUAUUUGUAGGUACUGUAUGAAUAAGGACCGGCUAAUUCCGUGCCAGCAGCCGCGGUAA